UAGGGUCUCUGACUCUCAAACCACUGUGCACCAAUACUACUUACUGCUGAGGCGGGCCGCUCGCUGGGGGAGCUCAGGCCUGUAUAGGUGGUCCGCCGAAGCAACUUUUCAAAACCUUUGACAGUAAAACAAAAACUUUCAAAUAAUUAUCA
Molecule: unclassified non-coding RNA, 152 nt
Filed under: uncultured Sordariomycetes
Lineage: Eukaryota; Fungi; Ascomycota; Sordariomycetes
Description: sequence contains ITS1
Source: RNAcentral